RNAcentral lists this transfer RNA (94 nucleotides) under Danaus plexippus (monarch butterfly). RNAcentral's name for it is "misc RNA ENSDPXG00000018469.1". It matches the Rfam family "tRNA". From Rfam's summary of the family: Transfer RNA (tRNA) molecules are approximately 80 nucleotides in length. The record is from RNAcentral. Lineage: Eukaryota; Metazoa; Arthropoda; Insecta; Lepidoptera; Nymphalidae. RNAcentral also lists the same sequence under 1 other name.
GCUCCAGUGGCGCAAUCGGUUAGCGCACGGUACUUAUAAGACAGUGGCCGCGUGAGGGAUGCCGGGGUUGUGAGUUCGAGUCUCACCUGGAGCA